UACGUAGGGUGCAAGCGUUGUCCGGAAUUAUUGGGCGUAAAGAGCUCGUAGGCGGUCUGUCGCGUCGGCUGUGAAAACCCGGAGCUCAACUCCGGGCCUGCAGUCGAUACGGGCAGACUGGAGUUCGGCAGGGGAGACUGGAAUUCCUGGUGUAGCGGUGAAAUGCGCAGAUAUCAGGAGGAACACCGGUGGAGAAGGCGGGUCUCUGGGCCGAUACUGACGCUGAGGAGCGAAAGCGUGGGGAGCGAACAGG
RNAcentral lists this ribosomal RNA (253 nucleotides) under uncultured bacterium. Its description in RNAcentral is "partial 16S ribosomal RNA". It matches the Rfam family "Bacterial small subunit ribosomal RNA", at positions 524 to 776 of the family's 1533-position model. The record is from RNAcentral.